UGGUCCUUAAGACUUUGUAUUGAGAGUGGUA
Molecule: non-coding RNA, 31 nt
Filed under: Rattus norvegicus (Norway rat)
Lineage: Eukaryota; Metazoa; Chordata; Mammalia; Rodentia; Muridae
Source: RNAcentral